CCGAAGCCAUCCGUCCCGCCAUCAUCCUCCUCUAUCAGGGAGAGUUCGUUCUUGGAAGCGAUCGGGAGAACGGCCCGUAAAGCGUCGUCGGCCUCGCCUCUCGUUUCAGCCCUUGAUCUCGUGCUCCCGACGCCGACAUUUCCGGGUGGCCGUACCUCCCGGUUGCUCGUCGAUGCGAGGAAGACCUUCCCUCGUGAAUCGAUCGGGAGAUCCUUCGGGUCGCCGUACCUCCUGGUUGCUCGUCGAUGCGAGGAAGACCUUCCCUCGUCUAAUCUCGAAUCAAUCGGGAGAUCGUUUUCCAGGGAAGGGGCAAUCCGCACGCAUGUUGGGAGCCAAACAGUAAUUAUCAUAAAGAUUAUGGGUUGCAGAAGGAACCACCGGCAGCCCAGAUGAGCGGAAGCUCCAAUUAUAUUUUCUGCGGAAGGAGGAGGAAUUUUCUUCUUCGGCUUCAGGGUAUAGCAAAGGUGUCUCACUUUUGGUCCUAGCCUUGGGUGACGAAUAAAAAUCGAUGAGAGUUUCUCCCUGGGAUCAAUCCCGAUUGGUGGAACAAGAAGUUAAUCCUGAAUUCCCGCUGGCUUCCCGAAACGAGCACGUCUCCCAUGGAUGUUCUUCCUUUGUCUGCUUUGGCCGUGCCUCCUCGGGAGUGAAUGGAACAUCUCCUCCCAAAGUUGGUCCGGUCCACCAUUACGAAACUCCGCUCGAUUCUUCGACUACUAACAGUUGCAAGGAAUCCGCAACCGAGGAUGUGGUUGUUGAGGGUGACAGAAAGAUAUGUCGUAAGAGCAGCCUGAAGAAGCAGUUCACAGAUCACUCUGCUUCAGAUGCUGAAGCUGUUGGUACGAAUGGUUCUUCAAGAGAAGUACCAGGUAGCACAUCCGGGUUUACGAAAAGGAAGCUGCAGUGGUCUGAUGCAUGCGGAAAGGAGCUUGUCGAAAUUAAGGAGUUUGAGCUCAGUGACGAUGACGUAUCAGACGAUGAAUUCGGACACGACGGUGACAGAUGCCAAUGUCAUGUACAGUAGAUCUCAUCUUCAUCGUGGACGAAAGGACUCGCACUAUCGGGCGAUGAUGACGAUCUCCUGCGGGGCGUUUGUAAAAUCUGACUAGUGUUUUGUUGGCCAUUCGUGGCCUCUCCGCUAGACUUGCAUGCGUGUGGGACUGCUGUUGUACUAAUAGGCUAUUGUUGGGAUCAGGGAGAAAUUUGCUAUGUAUAUUCUUUUCUUUUCUUUUCGAUGAAUGAAUUAUUUGGCAUCCCUUUAUUUAAUUUUCUUUUGGAGUA
This is a long non-coding RNA of Musa acuminata AAA Group (dessert banana), 1278 nucleotides long. RefSeq lists it as uncharacterized. Lineage: Eukaryota; Viridiplantae; Streptophyta; Magnoliopsida; Zingiberales; Musaceae. The transcript is spliced from 3 exons. The record is from RefSeq and is a predicted model, not a curated record.